GUCUAACGUUAGUUUCCUUCCUGCAAUGUGAAGGUUGAUCAGAUGCACAUAAAUGGUUUUACUACAAAUGAGCCAUACGAGCAGUCGAAAUUUGUUCCUCCUUGUCAUAAUAUCUUAGUUUCUAGAAUUCCAGAGGGGCGAUCAGCUGCACGAAAACAACCUAACCUAGGCUGGUGUUUCUGAUCUUUAUAUGUAUACCAGUGAGCCCGGGUAACAGUAGAAUAAUCAUUCUUACUGGAAGAAACUUUGCUCUUUGGAUUGAUCAAGUUGUUCCCAGAUGGAUAUACCAUAUUGGGCAGAAUUUGAUUAUUUGUUCAGAUAUGUAUCUUCUUCAUAUUGAGGAGAAGAAACUGAUGGAAACCGGUUUUUCAAAUUGGCUAAAAGUUUGUUUCGUGCCAACACGCGAAAGUGGUUGCAUUUAGAAAGUGGCUAAACAAGUAUUCAGGCGGUCAAGUUGACUGGGGAAACAA
This 470-nucleotide long non-coding RNA is filed under the name Helianthus annuus (common sunflower). Its description in RNAcentral is "hypothetical non coding rna". Lineage: Eukaryota; Viridiplantae; Streptophyta; Magnoliopsida; Asterales; Asteraceae. The record is from RNAcentral.